This 72-nucleotide transfer RNA is filed under the name Urocitellus parryii (Arctic ground squirrel). Its description in RNAcentral is "Spermophilus parryii (Arctic ground squirrel) tRNA". It matches the Rfam family "tRNA". Rfam says of the family: Transfer RNA (tRNA) molecules are approximately 80 nucleotides in length. Lineage: Eukaryota; Metazoa; Chordata; Mammalia; Rodentia; Sciuridae. The record is from Rfam by way of RNAcentral. RNAcentral also lists the same sequence under 2 other names.
GGGUAUGUAGCUCAAUGGUAGAGUGCUUGCCUAGUAUGCUCAAGACCCUGGGUUCAAUCCCCAGUACUGCCA